Molecule: long non-coding RNA, 1381 nt
Filed under: Numida meleagris (helmeted guineafowl)
Lineage: Eukaryota; Metazoa; Chordata; Aves; Galliformes; Numididae
Description: lncRNA (ENSNMEG00000002742.1)
Source: RNAcentral
AUGGUGGUGCCAGUGGUGCUGGUUCCGGUUGCAGUUCCGGUUCUGGUGCCAGUUCCGGUGCUGGUUCUGGUUCCAGUGCCAGUUCUGGUUCCGGUGCCAGUUCCGGUGUCAACGUCACAGUGGUGCCAGUUCCGGUUCUGGUUCCAGUUCCAGUUCCGGUGUCAGCAUCACAGAGGUGCCAGUGGUGCCUGUUCCGGUUCUGGUUCUGGUUCCGGUGCCAGUUCCAGUUCCGGUUCUGGUGUCAGUGUCACAGAGGUGCCAGUGGUGUUGCUUCCAGUUCUGGUUCCGGUUCCGGUUCCAGUUCCAGUUCUGGUUCNGUUCCAGUUCUGGUUCCGGUGCCAGUGUCACGGUGGUGCCAGUGGUGCCAGUUCUGGUUCUGGUUCCAGUUCCAGCUCUGGUUCCAGUGUCAAUGUCAUGAUGGUGCCAGCAGUGCUGGUUCCGGUUCUGGUGUCAGUGUCACGGUGGUGCCAGUGGUGCCGGUUCCGGUUCUGGUUCCGGUUCCAGUUCCAGCUCUGGUUCCAGUUCCAGUUCCAGCUCUGGUUCCGGUUCCAGCUCUGGUUCCGGUUCCAGUUCCGGUUCCAGUUCCAGCUCUGGUUCCGGUUCCGGUUCCGGUUGCGGUUGUGCUCAGGCGUGCAGGCAGCGGUUGAAGGCGUUGUAGGCCGACUCGAGGUCGAAGAGCAGCUGCCGCACCUGGGCAUCGUCCAGCUCGUCCGACGCCGACAUGGCGCUCAGCGUCUGCAGCCUCCGCCCCGCAAACAACGCCGCCGCUCAGCACCGCGACCCACGGCCGCGACCCACGGCGACCCACAGCCGCGACCCACAACCGGGACCCGCAACCGGGACCCGCAACCGGGACCCGCAACCGGGACCCGCAACCGGGACCCGCAACCGGGACCCGCAACCGGGACCCGCAGCUCGUCCGACGCCGACACGGCGCUCAGCGUCUGCAGCUUCCAGCCCCGCAAACCCCACAAAGGCGCCCCUGACCCCAUAGGGACCCCGUAAAGACUCCCCUCGACUCCAUAAAGACCCCAUAAAGAGCCCCCUGACCCCCUAGGGAACCCCCGACCCCAUAAGGACCUCAUAAAGAAUCCCACAACCCCAUAAACACCCCCCCGACCACAGAAGGACCCCAUAAAGACCGCCCUGACCCCAUAGGGACCUCACAAAGACACCCUUGACCCCAUAAGGACCCCAUACAGAUCCCAUAAAGACCCCCCGACCCCAUAAGAACCCCAUAGGAACCCCCCACAACCCCAUAAACCUCAUAAAGACCCCAUAGGGACCCCAUAAACCCCAUAAGGACCCCAUAGGGACCCCCCCAAUCCCAGAAGAAUCCCAUAAAGACCUCAUAAAGACCCCAUAAGGACCCCACAGGGAC